GAAGGUAGAGCUCAGGGACAGAGUGUGUGCUUGGCAUGCACGAGGUCCUGGGUUUCGAUCCCCUGUGCCUCCG
Molecule: transfer RNA, 73 nt
Filed under: Camelus bactrianus (Bactrian camel)
Lineage: Eukaryota; Metazoa; Chordata; Mammalia; Artiodactyla; Camelidae
Also listed under: 2 other names
Rfam family: tRNA
About the family: Transfer RNA (tRNA) molecules are approximately 80 nucleotides in length. Their secondary structure includes four short double-helical elements and three loops (D, anti-codon, and T loops). Further hydrogen bonds mediate the characteristic L-shaped molecular structure. tRNAs have two regions of fundamental functional importance: the anti-codon, which is responsible for specific mRNA codon recognition, and the 3' end, to which the tRNAs corresponding amino acid is attached (by aminoacyl-tRNA synthetases). tRNAs cope with the degeneracy of the genetic code in two manners: having more than one tRNA (with a specific anti-codon) for a particular amino acid; and 'wobble' base-pairing, i.e. permitting non-standard base-pairing at the 3rd anti-codon position.
Source: Rfam by way of RNAcentral